RNAcentral lists this ribosomal RNA (468 nucleotides) under uncultured bacterium. Its description in RNAcentral is "partial 16S ribosomal RNA". It matches the Rfam family "Bacterial small subunit ribosomal RNA", at positions 28 to 507 of the family's 1533-position model. The record is from RNAcentral.
GACGAACGCUGGCGGCGUGCUUAACACAUGCAAGUCGAACGGAAAGGCCCUGCUUUUGUGGGGUGCUCGAGUGGCGAACGGGUGAGUAACACGUGAGUAACCUGCCCUUGACUUUGGGAUAACUUCAGGAAACUGGGGCUAAUACCGGAUAGGAGCUCCUGCAGCAUGGUGGGGGUUGGAAAGUUUCGGCGGUUGGGGAUGGACUCGCGGCUUAUCAGCUUGUUGGUGGGGUAGUGGCUUACCAAGGCUUUGACGGGUAGCCGGCCUGAGAGGGUGACCGGCCACAUUGGGACUGAGAUACGGCCCAGACUCCUACGGGAGGCAGCAGUGGGGAAUCUUGCACAAUGGGCGGAAGCCUGAUGCAGCAACGCCGCGUGCGGGAUGACGGCCUUCGGGUUGUAAACCGCUUUCGCCUGUGACGAAGCGUGAGUGACGGUAAUGGGUAAAGAAGCACCGGCUAACUACGUG